RNAcentral lists this transfer RNA (64 nucleotides) under Patawatermes nigripunctatus. RNAcentral describes it as "tRNA-Glu". It matches the Rfam family "tRNA". From Rfam's summary of the family: Transfer RNA (tRNA) molecules are approximately 80 nucleotides in length. Their secondary structure includes four short double-helical elements and three loops (D, anti-codon, and T loops). The record is from RNAcentral. Lineage: Eukaryota; Metazoa; Arthropoda; Insecta; Blattodea; Termitidae. RNAcentral also lists the same sequence under 1 other name.
AUUUAUAUAGUUUAGGAAAACAUUACAUUUUCACUGUAAAGACAAGAGAAAAUCUUUAUAAAUA